RNAcentral lists this transfer RNA (69 nucleotides) under Bos taurus (domestic cattle). It matches the Rfam family "tRNA". Rfam says of the family: Transfer RNA (tRNA) molecules are approximately 80 nucleotides in length. Their secondary structure includes four short double-helical elements and three loops (D, anti-codon, and T loops). RNAcentral also lists the same sequence under 5 other names. Lineage: Eukaryota; Metazoa; Chordata; Mammalia; Artiodactyla; Bovidae. The record is from Rfam by way of RNAcentral.
CCUGAUGGCUCAAAUGGUAAAGUGUCUGCCUGCAAAGCAGAAGACCUUGGUUCGAUCCCUGGAUCAGGA